Peromyscus leucopus (white-footed mouse) is the source of this 1739-nucleotide long non-coding RNA. RefSeq lists it as uncharacterized. Lineage: Eukaryota; Metazoa; Chordata; Mammalia; Rodentia; Cricetidae. The transcript is spliced from 3 exons. The record is from RefSeq and is a predicted model, not a curated record.
CUGCAGACGGAGGAGUGAGGCGUGGGCAGCAGGUAACACCGACAAUUACUUUAAAAUUUAAAUUAUAGGAAGAUAUAAAGAAGGCCAUAAAAAUCCACUUAUAAGUCAAUCUGAGACUUUUUCUCUCUUUUUUCUUACUUUUCUUUUUAUUCUUUUUCUUUUCUUGUUUUCAAUCAACGUUGUUCUCGGUAUUUUAUCACCCAAAACAUAGACCGAUUUUGCCUUCUUCAUUUUUACUAAUCGGAACUUUCCUAGCCUCUUCACCUUAGGCUGACCCUCAUGUCCUAUCAGCUUUUGAGGAGCUUUGAACUUUUUAAAAUUUCAAUUAAACAAGAACAGAAUGUUUGUGCCUUCAUCACCCAGUGACGUAGCUCGCAGGCUCAAGCUGCCCCUUCUGCCAAGACAGCCCGUCCUGUCCCCUCUUGUUCACCUGGCAGAUGCUCUUCCUUUCAUUCGUCAAGACACACCUAGACUAUGACUUCAUCGAUGAAGGCUUCUCACCAAUCCCCCAAACAACUGAACAUCGACAGCCCCACCCCAACCCAGCCCUGGACCAGAUGCCAUGUUCUAUUGUGCCUGUGACUGUAAACCCCUUGAAGACAGCAGCCUCUCUUAGCCUGAAGUAGUGUCUUCUAAAGGAACUGUGCUAGGGGUUGGUGCUGGGUGUGAGGAGGGAGCAGCUUCCAGGUGAGGAAGAAGACAGCUAGAGAGAUUGCUUGCCUAGCUAGCCCUGAGGACCUGGGUUUGAUUCCCAGAACCCCACAUAAAGAAAAGCCCACCUUGGUGGAACAUGCUUGCUGGGGAGGCAGAAAAAGAUGGAUCCUUGGGGUUUGCUGACAAGCCUAACAAGCAAGUUCCAGGCCAAGAAGAGCCCCUACCUCAAAAAAAAGUGGGGGGACCUAAGAAAUGACACCCAAGUUUAUCUUCUGCCCUCCAUACACACAGAGAGAAACAAAUUUAAAAAAAAAAUGCACACACAUACAUGAAUUCACGCGCAAACACAAAAGGAAUGGAGAAAGUACUUUCAGUAACACAGCUCCGAGGCCACUUUGUUGGGUGUGGGGAGACCACCUUUUCUGACUCUGAUGGUCCAAUUUGUGAAUGAGAGGAACUGAUUUGCAUCUUAUCAGAGGGGACUUCAGGAACCUGCAAAGAUAGAGCUUUCCCCAUUCUCCAAACUCCCUGUAAAUCCCAGCUGUCCGUGGUGCCAACUCAGCACAGGGCACAGGAUGUGUGGGGAACGUCUCUUGUUGAUGAUUGAGGCAAGCCACACUAAACACCUGAGGAAACAAGUAGCUGGAAGCUCAGCCCGCUGCAUUGAAGGAAGCUGGGAAUUCAUGCUACAACCUGACAAGAGACUCUGUGAAGAGCAGAGCUGGCCCAGGGAAAGCCCUGCCUCGUAAUCCUCCUGGAUAUUUUCAUCACCCACUAAAGAAAUGCUGGAGCUGGUGAGAUGGCUCAGCAGGUAAAGGCACUUGCUGCUGAGACUGGCAACCUGAGUUCCAUCCCCAAGCUCCGAACGGGAGAAGAGGAGAAGCGCUUCCCAAAGGAAGUCCUCUGACCUCCAGCAGAGCACCGUGCCAUGGGGGGUGCAUGCACACUCACACAGAAAUAGAUAAAGUAAUAAAAAAUGUUAUACCUACUCCUAGCCCUUCCCCAUCCCCCAUCCCUGGGCAACCCCAAAAUUACGUGUGUUUCAGUGGGGGGCGUUGCCCAUUCUAGAUCUUGCAUAGAAAUAA